RNAcentral lists this ribosomal RNA (253 nucleotides) under uncultured bacterium. Its description in RNAcentral is "partial 16S ribosomal RNA". It matches the Rfam family "Bacterial small subunit ribosomal RNA", at positions 524 to 776 of the family's 1533-position model. The record is from RNAcentral.
UACGUAGGUGACAAGCGUUGUCCGGAUUUACUGGGCGUAAAGAGCGCGCAGGCGGUCGAUCAAGUCGCGUGUGAAAGCCCCCGGCUCAACUGGGGAGGGUCACGCGAUACUGAUCGACUCGAAGGCAGGAGAGGGUAGUGGAAUUCCCGGUGUAGUGGUGAAAUGCGUAGAUAUCGGGAGGAACACCAGUGGCGAAGGCGACUACCUGGCCUGUUCUUGACGCUGAGGCGCGAAAGCUAGGGGAGCAAACGGG